Molecule: ribosomal RNA, 1025 nt
Filed under: Flavobacterium sp. CB 286311
Lineage: Bacteria; Pseudomonadati; Bacteroidota; Flavobacteriia; Flavobacteriales; Flavobacteriaceae
Description: bacterial SSU rRNA
Rfam family: Bacterial small subunit ribosomal RNA
Source: RNAcentral
AGUCGAGGGGUAUACUUCUUCGGAUAGAGAGACCGGCGCACGGGUGCGUAACGCGUAUGCAAUCUACCUUUUACAGAGGGAUAGCCCAGAGAAAUUUGGAUUAAUACCUCAUAGUAUAUAGACUCGGCAUCGAGAUUAUAUUAAAGUCACAACGGUAAAAGAUGAGCAUGCGUCCCAUUAGCUAGUUGGUAAGGUAACGGCUUACCAAGGCUACGAUGGGUAGGGGUCCUGAGAGGGAGAUCCCCCACACUGGUACUGAGACACGGACCAGACUCCUACGGGAGGCAGCAGUGAGGAAUAUUGGACAAUGGGCGCAAGCCUGAUCCAGCCAUGCCGCGUGCAGGAUGACGGUCCUAUGGAUUGUAAACUGCUUUUAUACGAGAAGAAACAUCCCGACGUGUCGGGACUUGACGGUAUCGUAAGAAUAAGGAUCGGCUAACUCCGUGCCAGCAGCCGCGGUAAUACGGAGGAUCCAAGCGUUAUCCGGAAUCAUUGGGUUUAAAGGGUCCGUAGGCGGUUUAAUAAGUCAGUGGUGAAAGCCCAUCGCUCAACGGUGGAACGGCCAUUGAUACUGUUAGACUUGAAUUAUUAGGAAGUAACUAGAAUAUGUAGUGUAGCGGUGAAAUGCUUAGAGAUUACAUGGAAUACCAAUUGCGAAGGCAGGUUACUACUAAUUGAUUGACGCUGAUGGACGAAAGCGUGGGUAGCGAACAGGAUUAGAUACCCUGGUAGUCCACGCCGUAAACGAUGGAUACUAGCUGUUGGAAGCAAUUUCAGUGGCUAAGCGAAAGUGAUAAGUAUCCCACCUGGGGAGUACGUUCGCAAGAAUGAAACUCAAAGGAAUUGACGGGGGCCCGCACAAGCGGUGGAGCAUGUGGUUUAAUUCGAUGAUACGCGAGGAACCUUACCAAGGCUUAAAUGUAGAUUGACCGGUUUGGAAACAGAUCUUUCGCAAGACAAUUUACAAGGUGCUGCAUGGUUGUCGUCAGCUCGUGCCGUGAGGUGUCAGGUUAAGUCCUAUAACG